UGACCGUAAGGUCGGACUGUUUUGAUGCAGUAAGCGGAAAUGUUGACAUGAAAAUGUAACGGGAGGUCUGGAUUAUCGAAUGUAUUUCCAUCGAUAGAACAUAUUCCUGUAUAAUAAUUAAAACGCUAUAGUCGUUGGCCGGUAAUAGCUAACCAGGGCAGGCAUGUUGGAAAUAACGCAACAGUUUUUAUUCCUUCGACCUUCUCAGAGAAUAUCAAGAAUGCAUCGAGUUAACACUGUGUUUACAUGAACUAGCGGUGUCGAGCUGAACGGGCUUUUUUCUUUUGUUGUUAUAGGUUAUUUCGUGUACCUCCUAACUAAUGUCUAUCGCUUGAUAGCUGUGCUAUUGCAAAAGCUGGCAUUUCAGGACAAAUCAUUGCUGUCUUCCCUGAAAUGGACACUCCAAAUACACUGUCCAUGUUACUGCUGGUCUCAGAGCAAUGACACUGUCCUUGUCCUGCUCCUUGUCAACAUAACUAGCUGAGCUAAACUUUCCCGGAUUAGUUUUCUAUGACACUCAAAACUUAUGCUCGACUAGAUUCGUUGGAAUCGCUCCUCAACGAACUUCCCUGUAUGUUUUAUCUGGGCCUGUUUUUUGUGAACGUUUUGAUCCUCUACUAUGCCUUUCUAAUGGAAUACAUUGUCCUGAAUGUGGGGAUAGUGUUUCUACCGGAAGAUAUGGACCAGGCGCUGGUGGACCUAGGGGUACUAUCUGACCCGGCCUCUGUCCCUUACGACACGGACACAGAACUCGAUGUUUUCGAGAGGUACCUGGAGUGAGCUGGGGCCCAAGGCUCGAGAGGCAGAGAGAAGCGCCGCUGCACCGGCAUGCUCCGCAGGGGUGAACUGGACUCCUACCGGCCUGUGAUGAUGAUGAUGAUGAUGAUGUUGGGAGAGACUGACACUGGGAACUCCAGGAGGAGGAUAUUUGUCUUGGCUUGGAACAACAUUGGCUGCAGGAUGAAAAAGUUGUCAAGGCUCAAGACCAGAAAUCUGGAGAGAGUCAGAACCAACAGACAGACAGGACAAUUCACAGCAGAGUUACCUGUCAAAACUGUCUUAACUGGCCAAUCAACAAGCAGACCUGUCUAACUGUGGCCAAUCAACAAGCAGAACUGUCAAACUGUGUCCAAUCAACAAGCAGAACUGUCAAACUGUGUCCAAUCAACAAGCAGAACUGUCUAACUGGCCAAUCAACUACCAGAACUGUCGAACUGUGUCCAGUCAACAAGAAUAACUGUCUAACUGGCCAAUCAACAAGCAGACCUGUCUAACUGUGGCCAAUCAACAAGCAGACCUGUCUAACUGUGGCCAAUCAACAAGCAGACCUGUCUAACUGUGGCCAAUCAACAAGCAGAUCUGUAUAACUGUGGCCAAUCAACAAGCAGGACUGUCCAACUGGCCAAUCAACAAGCAGACCUGUCUAACUGGCCAAUCAACAAGCAGGACUGUGACUGGCCAAUCAACAAGCAGGACUGUGACUGGCCAAUCAACAAGCAGGACUGUCUAACUGGCCAAUCAACAAGCAGGACUGUGACUGGCUAAUCAACAAGCAGAACUGUGACUGGCCAAUUAACAAGCAGACCUGUCUCACUGGCCAAUCAACAAGCAGAACUGUCUAACUGGCUAAUUAACAAGCAGACCUGUCUAACUGGCCAAUCAACAUGCAGACCUGUCUAACUGGCCAAUCAACAAGCAGAACUGUCUAACUGGCCAAUCAACAAGCAGAACUGUCUAACUGGCCAAUCAACAAGCAGAACUGUCUAACUGGCCGAUCAACAAGCAGAACUGUCUAACUGGCCAAUCAACAAGCAGAACUGUCUAACUGGCCAAUCAACAAGCAGAACUGUCUAACUGGCCAAUCAACAAGCAGACCUGUCUAACUGGCCGAUCAACAAGCAGACCUGUCUAACUGGCCGAUCAACAAGCAGAACUGGCCAAUCAACAAGCAGACCUGUCUAACUGGCCGAUCAACAAGCAGAACUGUCUAACUGGCCAAUCAACAAGCAGAACUGGCCAAUCAACAUGCAGGACUGUCUAACUGGCCAAUCAACAAGCAGAACUGUCCAACUGGCCAAUCAACAAGCAGAACAUUGCACGAUCAGGGGACAACGUUACACUAACUCUGACCCUAGAGAACUGACCUAGGAUCAGUCAACCUGACAGGACAGCACUGUAGUGUUUACUAACUCUGACCCUAGAGAACUGACCGAGGAUCAGUCAACCUGACAGGACAGCACUGUAGUGUUUACUAACUCUGACCCUAGAGAUCUGACCCAGGAUCAGUCAACCUGACAGGACUGUAGUGUUUACUAACUCUGACCCUAGAGAACUGACCUAGGAUCAGUCAACCUGACAGGACAGCACUGUAGUGUUUACUAACUCUGACCCUAGAGAUCUGACCCAGGAUCAGUCAACCUGACAGCACUGUAGUGUUUACUAACUCUGACCCUAGAGAACUGACCUAGGAUCAGUCAACCUGACAGGACUGUAGUGUUUACUAACUCUGACCCUAGAGAACUGACCGAGGAUCAGUCAACCUGACAGGACAGCACUGUAGUGUUUACUAACUCUGACCCUAGAGAUCUGACCCAGGAUCAGUCAACCUGACAGGACAGCACUGUAGUGUUUACUAACUCUGACCCUAGAGAACUGACCGAGGAUCAGUCAACCUGACAGGACUGUAGUGUUUACUAACUCUGACCCUAGAGAACUGACCGAGGAUCAGUCAACCUGACAGGACAGCACUGUAGUGUUUACUAACUCUGACCCUAGAGAACUGACCUAGGAUCAGUCAACCUGACAGGACAGCACUGUAGUGUUUACUAACUCUGACCCUAGAGAACUGACCGAGGAUCAGUCAACCUGACAGGACUGUAGUGUUUACUAACUCUGACCCUAGAGAACUGACCGAGGAUCAGUCAACCUGACAGGACUGUAGUGUUUACUAACUCUGACCCUAGAGAACUGACCGAGGAUCAGUCAACCUGACAGGACAGCACUGUAGUGUUUACUAACUCUGACCCUAGAGAUCUGACCCAGGAUCAGUCAACCUGACAGGACAGCACUGUAGUGUUUACUAACUCUGACCCUAGAGAACUGACCGAGGAUCAGUCAACCUGACAGGACAGCACUGUAGUGUUUACUAACUCUGACCCUAGAGAACUGACCGAGGAUCAGUCAACCUGACAGUCGACCCUAGAGAACUGACCCAGGAUCAGUCAACCUGACAGGACAGCACUGUAGUGUUUACUAACUCUGACCCUAGAGAACUGACCGAGGAUCAGUCAACCUGACAGGACAGCACUGUAGUGUUUACUAACUCUGACCCUAGAGAACUGACCCAGGAUCAGUCAACCUGACAGCACUGUAGUGUUUACUAACUCUGACCCUAGAGAACUGACCGAGGAUCAGUCAACCUGACAGGACAGCACUGUAGUGUUUACUAACUCUGACCCUAGAGAACUGACCGAGGAUCAGUCAACCUGACAGGACUGUAGUGUUUACUAACUCUGACCCUAGAGAACUGACCGAGGAUCAGUCAACCUGACAGGACAGCACUGUAGUGUUUACUAACUCUGACCCUAGAGAACUGACCGAGGAUCAGUCAACCUGACAGGACAGCACUGUAGUGUUUACUAACUCUGACCCUAGAGAACUGACCGAGGAUCAGUCAACCUGACAGGACUGUAGUGUUUACUAACUCUGACCCUAGAGAACUGACCGAGGAUCAGUCAACCUGACAGCACUGUAGUGUUUACUAACUCUGACCCUAGAGAACUGACCGAGGAUCAGUCAACCUGACAGGACAGCACUGUAGUGUUUACUAACUCUGACCCUAGAGAACUGACCUAGGAUCAGUCAACCUGACAGCACUGUAGUGUUUACUAACUCUGACCCUAGAGAACUGACCCAGGAUCAGUCAACCUGACAGGACUGUAGUGUUUACUAACUCUGACCCUAGAGAACUGACCGAGGAUCAGUCAACCUGACAGGACUGUAGUGUUUACUAACUCUGACCCUAGAGAUCUGACCCAGGAUCAGUCAACCUGACAGGACUGCACUGUAGUGUUUACUAACUCUGACCCUAGAGAACUGACCUAGGAUCAGUCAACCUGACAGGACUGUAGUGUUUACUAACUCUGACCCUAGAGAACUGACCGAGGAUCAGUCAACCUGACAGGACUGUAGUGUUUACUAACUCUGACCCUAGAGAACUGACCGAGGAUCAGUCAACCUGACAGGACUGUAGUGUUUACUAACUCUGACCCUAGAGAUCUGACCGAGGAUCAGUCAACCUGACAGGACAGCACUGUAGUGUUUACUAACUCUGACCCUAGAGAACUGACCUAGGAUCAGUCAACCUGACAGGACAGCACUGUAGUGUUUACUAACUCUGACCCUAGAGAUCUGACCCAGGAUCAGUCAACCUGACAGGACAGCACUGUAGUGUUUACUAACUCUGACCCUAGAGAACUGACCUAGGAUCAGUCAACCUGACAGGACUGUAGUGUUUACUAACUCUGACCCUAGAGAUCUGACCGAGGAUCAGUCAACCUGACAGGACAGCACUGUAGUGUUUACUAACUCUGACCCUAGAGAUCUGACCGAGGAUCAGUCAACCUGACAGGACAGCACUGUAGUGUUUACUAACUCUGACCCUAGAGAACUGACCCAGGAUCAGUCAACCUGACAGGACUGUAGUGUUUACUAACUCUGACCCUAGAGAACUGACCGAGGAUCAGUCAACCUGACAGGACAGCACUGUAGUGUUUACUAACUCUGACCCUAGAGAACUGACCGAGGAUCAGUCAACCUGACAGGACAGCACUGUAGUGUUUACUAACUCUGACCCUAGAGAUCUGACCUAGGAUCAGUCAACCUGACAGGACAGCACUGUAGUGUUUACUAACUCUGACCCUAGAGAACUGACCUAGGAUCAGUCAACCUGACAGGACUGUAGUGUUUACUAACUCUGACCCUAGAGAUCUGACCGAGGAUCAGUCAACCUGACAGGACAGCACUGUAGUGUUUACUAACUCUGACCCUAGAGAACUGACCUAGGAUCAGUCAACCUGACAGGACAGCACUGUAGUGUUUACUAACUCUGACCCUAGAGAACUGACCUAGGAUCAGUCAACCUGACAGGACAGCACUGUAGUGUUUACUAACUCUGACCCUAGAGAACUGACCGAGGAUCAGUCAACCUGACAGGACAGCACUGUAGUGUUUACUAACUCUGACCCUAGAGAACUGACCUAGGAUCAGUCAACCUGACAGGACUGUAGUGUUUACUAACUCUGACCCUAGAGAACUGACCGAGGAUCAGUCAACCUGACAGGACUGUAGUGUUUACUAACUCUGACCCUAGAGAUCUGACCGAGGAACAGUCAACCUGACAGGACAGCACUGUAGUGUUUACUAACUCUGACCCUAGAGAACUGACCGAGGAUCAGUCAACCUGACAGGACAGCACUGUAGUGUUUACUAACUCUGACCCUAGAGAACUGACCGAGGGUCAACCUGCUUCAGGUUCUUCUACACUUCUGGGAAUGUUAUCAAUUUUUUUUUUAAAGACUGUUUUAAACAACCAGGAAACCAGCGGUUGUUUCUGGUUGUUUAUCAGAGUUAUCUGGCUUAGCUGGUUGAUCCUGCUGUUGUAUCGUACCCCUCAGGGGGUGUGGCCUGGAGAAGUGUUUGUCGUGUUGUUAUGAGAUGUGUGGUAUGAAAGACAUUUGACAGAUUGUGGUCCGGUCCUCCUCCUACCUGUCUCGUCUCUCUUCGUUCAUCUUGGCCACUGUGACGGGUGUGAACAAACACAGGUGACUCUUGUUUAGUACCGAUCUUGGAUCAGUGUGCCAUCCACCAAGGGGGGGGCAGGAAGUGACCUUUAGAUCGUUGCCUGUAGACUCGAGAGGCAGCUUCACCUUGCUCUGCUCUGACUCUGACUCUCUCAAAGGGGAGAGGUCUAUGUUCAUGUCGUCUCUGGUGUCUGCCAAUCAAUAAUCAAUAAUACUGCAUCAGCUUGGUCCUGAUCAAUAACCCACCACAGACCAGCUGCUGGCAGUCACCAGGCUGCUUCCCUGCUAGGCUCCUCCCCCCUCCGGAGAACAACUCCCAGCGUGCAUUGGGCUGGAUGGCUGAAGUACCUGGUGACUUUACUGCUAAUGUCAAUCAACCUCUACGCUAUAACGGCUCAUAAGGGAUUAGACUGGGUUUAUAAUGCAGUGUUGUUCUUCUGCUCUGUCGGCUGUGUAUUAUAAUGGGGGGGGGGGACAUCCUGGGGCCUUGAAGGCUCUGAUGCCAUACCCCCCCCCCACGCCAACCACCUGUAGAUAGCAGUAACACCCCCCCCCACCCCACCCCAACCACCUGUAGAUAGCAGUAACACCCAAUUGGGGGGACACACACACCCUGGGCCUUUUACAGCAAUAGAGGGCUCUGAUGCCAUACCCCCCCCCCCCCGCCAACCCAACCACCUGUAGAUAGCAGUAACACCCAAUUGGGGGGGGAACACACACCCUGGGCCUUUUACAGCAAUAGAGGGCUCUGAUGCCAUACCCUCCCCACCCCAACCACCUGUAGAUAUUAGUAACACCCCCCCCACCCCAACCACCUGUAGAUAGCAGUAACACCCCCCCCCACCCCAACCACCUGUAGAUAGCAGUAACACCCCCCCCACCCCAUCCACCUGUAGAUAGCAGUAACACCCCCCCACACCACCACCACAGCAGCCAUUUUAAACCAAAAUGUUUCAGCAGUGCAGCUGACAGUAGAGAGGUGAGGAGGACAUCUUACACUCCUCGUCAUCGUCAUCAUGAAGACACCCCCCCAGCACAAGCCUUCACAUCCUCUUCAUCAUCAUCAUGAAGACAUCCCACCCCAGCACCAGCCUUCACAUCCUCUUCAUCAUCAUCAUGAAGACAUCCCACCCCAGCCUUCACAUCCUCUUCAUCAUCAUCAUGAAGACAUCCCACCCCAGCACCAGCCUUCACAUCCUCUUCAUCGUCAUCAUGAAGACACCCCCCCAGCACCAGCCUUCACAUCCUCUUCAUCAUCAUCAUCAUGAAGACACCCCCCCGAGCACCAGCCUUCACAUCCUCUUCAUCAUCAUCAUGAAGACAUCCCACCCCAGCACCAGCCUUCACAUCCUCUUCAUCAUCAUUAUGACAUCACACCCCAGCCUUCACAUCCUCUUCAUCAUCAUCAUGAAGACAUGUUGUUAUAAGACAUGUUAUAAGAAGCUAUAAUGUGUAAUAAGGAGCCAUGAUGUGUUAUAAGGAGCCAUGAUGUGUUAUAAGGAGAAGCUAUGAUGUGUUAUAAGGAGAAGAUAUGAUGUGUUAUAAGGAGAAGAUAUGAUGUGUUAUAAGGAGCUAUGAUGUGUUAUAAGGAGAAGCUAUGAUGUGUUAUAAGGAGCUAUGAUGUGUUAUUAUAAGGAGCUAUGAUGUGUUAUAAGGAGAAGCUAUGAUGUGUUAUAAGGAACUAUGACGUGUUAUAAUGUGUUAUGACGUGUUAUAAGGAGCUAUGAUGUGUUAUAAGGAGCUAUGACGUGUUAUAAGAAGCUAUGAUGUGUUAUAACGUGUUAUAAGAAGCUAUGUUGUUAUAACAUGUUAUAAGGAGCUAUGACGUGUUAUAACAUGUUAUAAGGAGCUAUGACGUGUUAUAAGAAGCUAUAAGCGUUCAUACAGUGGUUCAUAUUCCAAUGCAUAUUUAAUAAACCAUCAAUGAGUGGA
Oncorhynchus masou masou (cherry salmon) is the source of this 7733-nucleotide RNA transcript. RefSeq lists it as uncharacterized. Lineage: Eukaryota; Metazoa; Chordata; Actinopteri; Salmoniformes; Salmonidae. The record is from RefSeq and is a predicted model, not a curated record. The transcript is spliced from 2 exons.